GUGAUGAUGUUUUUGUGCAAAAUUCAGGAUUCAGAAAUAAGAGAGUAGUAUCAAACAUGAAACAGAAGCCAUUUUUUUCCAGCUGAACAUUUUCAAACUCGUUUCAAGUUAUCAAAUACCAAAAUUCACAUAGUAAAAAACAGAGAACAACGCAAUGCAUGGAAUAUACACUUACCAACAAAUUGAACAUAAGUAAAGUGAGAAAGAAAAGACAUAGAAAAUGUGACCAAUGAAUACAAAUAGGACAUGCAGAUGCACUCACAUACCCACCCACACACAAAAAUAAGAAAUAACUUGGAGUGGCAGAGGAGAGACUAAUGAUGUCUCUCUAAUCUCUUCAUCAACUCUUGCGCCAACAGUUUCAUCCAUGUUUCUCUU
RNAcentral lists this long non-coding RNA (378 nucleotides) under Brassica napus (rape). RNAcentral describes it as "long non-coding RNA (BNAP_LNC012168)". Lineage: Eukaryota; Viridiplantae; Streptophyta; Magnoliopsida; Brassicales; Brassicaceae. The record is from RNAcentral.